GAGUAGCUUUGGACCCGUGUCUGCCGGUAGAUCCCCCGUCUUAGUGCGGCCGACUACCGGCGCCGUGUCCCGUCCCUCCUGUGGCUUAUGCUGCUGUUGCCUUUCAAGUGCUUGCGUGCUGGUACCCGAACUACGGGUAGUGGUGCAUCGUACAUGGUUGCCUCACGGUGGACACCUUUGGGUGAUCUGCUGUGGCCUAAUGGCGGUUGCGGCGUUUCCUCGUGGUGCUAACACGCUUGCGCGCAAGGCACUAUCAAGGAAACCUUGCUCCCGCUGUUGGUCUCGGAUGUCGCUCACGAUAAAGUCUCUUGGCCCCUUUGGUUGCCUUGACCCGACCCUAAAGCAGCUCUCCGAAUUUGAGAACACCCGGAACAGGUGUUGCCUCUACCUCUCCACAGUUAGUGGUAGGAUACGCAACAUUCUGCGCCGAUCCUCAAUCAAGUAGGAUGAGCUUAGCUACCUCAAUCACGACAACCAGCUUGGUCGUUGCCUCAGCCUGGCUGCAUCUGUGGACGGGCGGGCAAAGACCGACGCUGGACGUCAAGAGGACGUGCUACCUGGUUGAUCCUGCCA
Molecule: unclassified non-coding RNA, 573 nt
Filed under: Hainardia cylindrica
Lineage: Eukaryota; Viridiplantae; Streptophyta; Magnoliopsida; Poales; Poaceae
Description: partial external transcribed spacer
Source: RNAcentral